GUUUUUGUAGUUUCCGGUAUUUGCUAGAUUUUUUUUUUUUAAAUUGUGGAAUUGGUAUUUUGUUCUUUUGAUUGAUUUCAGAAUCUCAUUGAAUCCAUGUAGCUAUCUCCUUUGAUUUGUACUAAAUUUAGCUGCAUAAUUAGAAUUCUAUUUUGUUUUGGGUGCUGCUUUAUUAGAAUUCCAUUUCUGCAUCAGCGAGUCCGAAAGUCUGGUGGUAAUUCUUUAGAUACCCUUUGGAAAAAGUUUGGCUAUAUUAAAAAAAAGGGUUUAUGAGCU
RNAcentral lists this unclassified non-coding RNA (276 nucleotides) under Hevea brasiliensis (rubber tree). The record is from RNAcentral. Lineage: Eukaryota; Viridiplantae; Streptophyta; Magnoliopsida; Malpighiales; Euphorbiaceae.